CUCAUAUUGAAACCUAGUGAUGUAUGAGUUAGUGGCGGACGGGUGAGUAACGCGUGGAGAACCUGCCGUAUACUGGGGGAUAACACUUAGAAAUAGGUGCUAAUACCGCAUAAGCGCACAGCUUCGCAUGAAGCAGUGUGAAAAACUCCGGUGGUAUACGAUGGAUCCGCGUCUGAUUAGCUGGUUGGCGGGGUAACAGCCCACCAAGGCGACGAUCAGUAGCCGGCCUGAGAGGGUGAACGGCCACAUUGGGACUGAGACACGGCCCAAACUCCUACGGGAGGCAGCAGUGGGGAAUAUUGCACAAUGGGGGAAACCCUGAUGCAGCGACGCCGCGUGAGUGAAGAAGUAUUUCGGUAUGUAAAGCUCUAUCAGCAGGGAAGAAAUACUGACCUUACGGUCAGCAGACGGUACCUGACUAAGAAGCCCCGGCUAACUACGUGCCAGCAGCCGCGGUAAUACGUAGGGGGCAAGCGUUAUCCGGAUUUACUGGGUGUAAAGGGAGCGUAGACGGCAGCGCAAGUCUGAAGUGAAAUCCCAUGGCUUAACCAUGGAACUGCUUUGGAAACUGUGCAGCUGGAGUGCAGGAGAGGUAAGCGGAAUUCCUAGUGUAGCGGUGAAAUGCGUAGAUAUUAGGAGGAACACCAGUGGCGAAGGCGGCUUACUGGACUGUAACUGACGUUGAGGCUCGAAAGCGUGGGGAGCAAACAGGAUUAGAUACCCUGGUAGUCCACGCCGUAAACGAUGAUUACUAGGUGUUGGGGGACCAAGGUCCUUCGGUGCCGGCGCAAA
RNAcentral lists this ribosomal RNA (792 nucleotides) under uncultured bacterium. Its description in RNAcentral is "bacterial SSU rRNA". It matches the Rfam family "Bacterial small subunit ribosomal RNA", at positions 67 to 855 of the family's 1533-position model. The record is from RNAcentral.